RNAcentral lists this transfer RNA (87 nucleotides) under Rhodospirillaceae bacterium. RNAcentral's name for it is "tRNA-Leu". It matches the Rfam family "tRNA". Rfam says of the family: Transfer RNA (tRNA) molecules are approximately 80 nucleotides in length. Their secondary structure includes four short double-helical elements and three loops (D, anti-codon, and T loops). Further hydrogen bonds mediate the characteristic L-shaped molecular structure. tRNAs have two regions of fundamental functional importance: the anti-codon, which is responsible for specific mRNA codon recognition, and the 3' end, to which the tRNAs corresponding amino acid is attached (by aminoacyl-tRNA synthetases). tRNAs cope with the degeneracy of the genetic code in two manners: having more than one tRNA (with a specific anti-codon) for a particular amino acid; and 'wobble' base-pairing, i.e. permitting non-standard base-pairing at the 3rd anti-codon position. RNAcentral also lists the same sequence under 8 other names. The record is from RNAcentral. Lineage: Bacteria; Pseudomonadati; Pseudomonadota; Alphaproteobacteria; Rhodospirillales; Rhodospirillaceae.
GCCCCUGUGGCGGAAUUGGUAGACGCGGCAGACUCAAAAUCUGUUGCCCGCAAGGGCGUGCUGGUUCGAGUCCGGCCAGGGGCACCA